GAUGAACGCUGGCGGUAUGCCUAACACAUGCAAGUCGAACGGGUGUCCUUCGGGACAUUAGUGGUGGACGGGUGAGUAACGCGUGAGAAUCUGCCUUCAGGAUGGGGACAACAAUUGGAAACGAUUGCUAAUACCCGAUAUGACGAAAGUUGAAAGAUUUAUCGCCUGGAGAUGAGCUCGCGUCAGAUUAGCUAGAUGGUGUGGUAACGGCGCACCAUGGCGACGAUCUGUAGCUGGUCUGAGAGGAUGAGCAGCCACACUGGGACUGAGACACGGCCCAGACUCCUACGGGAGGCAGCAGUGGGGAAUUUUCCGCAAUGGGCGCAAGCCUGACGGAGCAAUACCGCGUGAGGGAGGAAGGCUCUUGGGUCGUAAACCUCUUUUCUCAGGGAGGAACACAAUGACGGUACCUGAGGAAUCAGCAUCGGCUAACUCCGUGCCAGCAGCCGCGGUAAUACGGAGGAUGCAAGCGUUAUCCGGAAUGAUUGGGCGUAAAGCGUCCGUAGGUGGUUCUGUAAGUCUGUGGUUAAAGCGUGGGGCUCAACCCCAUAUCGGCCAUGGAAACUACAAGACUUGAGUAAAGUAGGGGUAGAGGGAAUUCCCAGUGUAGCGGUGAAAUGCGUAGAGAUUGGGAAGAACACCGGUGGCGAAAGCGCUCUACUGGACUUAAACUGACACUGAGGGACGAAAGCUAGGGGAGCGAAAGGGAUUAGAUACCCCUGUAGUCCUAGCCGUAAACGAUGGAUACUAGGUGUUGCCCG
RNAcentral lists this ribosomal RNA (761 nucleotides) under uncultured cyanobacterium. RNAcentral's name for it is "bacterial SSU rRNA". It matches the Rfam family "Bacterial small subunit ribosomal RNA", at positions 28 to 829 of the family's 1533-position model. Lineage: Bacteria; Bacillati; Cyanobacteriota. The record is from RNAcentral.